AAAACAUGGCUUUAAGAUUAUAAUUUUAAGUUUAAUCUGCUCAAUGAUGAAUUUAAAUAGCUGCAGUAUAUUAACUGUACAAAGGUAGCAUAAUCAAUAGUUUUUUAAUUAAAAGCUGGAAUGAAUGAUUGAAUGAAAUAAUAUCUGUCUCAAAUUAAUUAAUGUUAUAAUUUUUUUUUUAGUAAAAAUACUAAAUUAUUUAUAAAAGACGAGAAGACCCUAUAGAAUUUUAUAUUUUUUUUUUAAAUUAAUUUUUAUGAAUUUAAUUAAAAAUUAUUAGAUUGGGGAAAUUAUUAAAUUUAAUAAAUUUUAAUUAAUUAAAAACAAUAAUUAUUGAUUUUUAUUGAUCUUGAUAUUUUAAAAUAUAAGAAUAAAUUACCUUAGGGAUAACAGCGUAAUUUUUUUAGGGAGAUCUUAUUUAUAAAAAAGUUUGCGACCUCGAUGUUGAAUUAAAAUAAAAUUUUAAUGAAGGAGUUAAAAAUUUU
This 485-nucleotide ribosomal RNA is filed under the name Oresbius sp. BFS-2018. Its description in RNAcentral is "partial 16S large subunit ribosomal RNA". The record is from RNAcentral. Lineage: Eukaryota; Metazoa; Arthropoda; Insecta; Hymenoptera; Ichneumonidae.